This is a long non-coding RNA of Monodelphis domestica (gray short-tailed opossum), 1359 nucleotides long. RefSeq lists it as uncharacterized. NCBI's taxonomy places the organism in Eukaryota, Metazoa, Chordata, Mammalia, Didelphimorphia, Didelphidae. The record is from RefSeq and is a predicted model, not a curated record.
GGAAGCUGGUCCUCUAUAAAAGCCAGUGAGGCGGGCUUCUCUUUCUUUCUCUUACGCUACUUCGGGUCGAAGAUAGAAUUAGUGUUGUCCUGCUGUGAAUUUCAGCUUCGCUCUGGCCCCUCUUGGCUUGGAGUUUGCGGCCAUUGUUCCCUCACCCUGCCAUAGGUACUGGGAGCAAUGCCCGAAAUGACCCAUUCUCAGGAGGAGCUUUGCUGCAGCGGCAAGGCCGCCAAAGGACGAGGUGUACCCUGUGCUGUGGAUGAACUUAGCAACAAACAGAUUCCAUGAAGAUAGCAAGCUACAACAAAUUUCUAUGCAUUUCUAUUCUGUGUUGGUAAGUUAAAGAUUUAAGAGCUGGGAAAAGCCUAUACUCUUAACACAUUUUGGCAGAAUGCAUAUAGGUGAACUUGUGAAAAGAAGCAAUUCCAUAGCAGCUGUAAAGGGGCGCCUGCCAUAAAAGAGGCACUUGUCAGUGAUUUGACUCUGAGAAGAGCUAAAAUUGGUCAGAAAGAAUUAAUUUCUGUCUGGCAUCCAACCUGAACCUGUCUUACAACAUAAGGAAAAGAGGAGCCAAAGGAUGAAGUUGCAGCCUUUACAGGAAUAGCCUCACAAAUUGGAAUCUGUUCAAAUAUACUGCCAUGGGUAAAUUCCAGGGCUGUUAUUAGUUAGCAUAAGCAAGGGUGGUGGUCCUUUGGUCUGUUUCUCUAUCCUUUUCCCCAUCAAUCUAUUGCCCUGCAUCUUAGUGCAAAUUUGUCCAAACUAAUUACAUAGCCCACAAUAAGGCAAAGCCUUUUUUGCUAAAUUCUCUGUGACUAUAUGCUUUACCACAGGAAUGCAGCCUAGAACCAAGAACUUGGCUACCAAAUAUCUCAAAGCAUGUAAAGGAAAAGCCAGUAAUGACAAACCUAGGUUUUCAGCCUAUUUUGAAAUACUGUCUUUGACUUGGUUUCCUCAGCUGUAAACUGGAGAUAAUAGCACCUACCUCUCAGUAUUACAUGAGAUAGUAUUUGUUAAAUGUUUAGUAUAGUUUCUGGCACAGAAUAAGUGCUUAAUAAAUAUAUCAUUUCUAUUAUAUAUAGCUAGUUAUAUACUUACAAUGCUUGUUUCCCUAUCAAUGUUAGGGAAAUUCAGAAAAGUAUGAGGGCAUCACUCACCUAUAUACCACCUCCAACUAUGCCAUGCUUAAUGCAGUUAUCUGGCAUGCUCGAGUUUGCAAGGACCUGUCUGAGCUCAAGCUUAGACAGAUGGUGCUCCUAGUUUAUAUUAUUGGAACCCAUUGAUUCCUGUUUUGAUAUAUAUUGUCAUAAAUUACAAUUGUAUGUUUAAGUUCUGAAUAAAAUGAACAUUGAUAAAUUGUUA